Molecule: long non-coding RNA, 731 nt
Organism: Armigeres subalbatus
Lineage: Eukaryota; Metazoa; Arthropoda; Insecta; Diptera; Culicidae
Exons: 3
Source: RefSeq, a predicted model, not a curated record
AUUGAUGCUUGACAAUACAUAUCAAAUUUCUUCCUUGAUAAUUUCCAAACAGAGGAUGGCAAAACAAAAAGAAACUGAUCUUGGCCGAAGCCGAAGAAAUACGGAACCGGUGUUGUUUACUUUAUCGAUUAACUUGAGGCUAUUUUUCCGGAACUGCACAUACACAGCGAUUUAUUUCCCUGAUGCUCGUUGCCGGAUAGCAUCGAACCCGGACGAUUUUACCGACCUGUACGUGCACCAGACCGGUGAAUGCAAGCUCAUCCGGAGUUCUUUGCCCGCAGAGCUAUCGAUGCCCCUAAAAGGAAAAAAUGAUGAAAGCGCUGUGGACGGAUAAUGCCGUAAAUACGAAUCCUCUCCGGAAUGGAACGGAACGGAAAAAUGAAAAGGAACCUGAUUGUUUGCAUGCAGCUAGAGGAACUACAGGUUGGAUCGACGAGAGAGCACACCGAUUCGGCCGACGCAGAAAAAAGGAGGAAAUCUGAAAAGCAAAUCAUGAUCGUGAAGCUGCGCACCCGCCGUGUCUAUUUCUUCAUAGUUUAUAAAGUCCGUCUGGGAUGUGAUCGUCACUUAUUUGGUACCAGCCAAUCUACUAAAUUCUGGAGCUUAAACGAAGCCAUCAUCUGUAGAGGCGUGGAAAUCCUUUGCAUGGUGGAUCAUCAAUCGGGAAUGUCUGGCAGUAUAGUAGUGGUGGCGUGAUUCCCAUUAUUUUGUUAUCAACAGGGUGGAGCGCC